RNAcentral lists this ribosomal RNA (520 nucleotides) under uncultured bacterium. RNAcentral's name for it is "bacterial SSU rRNA". It matches the Rfam family "Bacterial small subunit ribosomal RNA", at positions 120 to 674 of the family's 1533-position model. The record is from RNAcentral.
GGGAAUCUGCCCUUAGGUUCGGAAUAACAGUUGGAAACGACUGCUAAUACCGGAUGAUGACGUAAGUCCAAAGAUUUAUCGCCUGAGGAUGAGCCCGCGUAGGAUUAGCUAGUUGGUGUGGUAAGAGCGCACCAAGGCGACGAUCCUUAGCUGGUCUGAGAGGAUGAUCAGCCACACUGGGACUGAGACACGGCCCAGACUCCUACGGGAGGCAGCAGUGGGGAAUAUUGGACAAUGGGCGAAAGCCUGAUCCAGCAAUGCCGCGUGAGUGAUGAAGGCCUUAGGGUUGUAAAGCUCUUUUACCCGGGAUGAUAAUGACAGUACCGGGAGAAUAAGCUCCGGCUAACUCCGUGCCAGCAGCCGCGGUAAUACGGAGGGAGCUAGCGUUGUUCGGAAUUACUGGGCGUAAAGCGCACGUAGGCGGCUUUGUAAGUUAGAGGUGAAAGCCUGGAGCUCAACUCCAGAAUUGCCUUUAAGACUGCAUCGCUUGAAUCCAGGAGAGGUGAGUGGAAUUCCGAGU